Molecule: long non-coding RNA, 3665 nt
Filed under: Sus scrofa (pig)
Lineage: Eukaryota; Metazoa; Chordata; Mammalia; Artiodactyla; Suidae
Description: lncRNA (ENSSSCG00050035873.1)
Source: RNAcentral
UACAUAUCUUAUUUUCCUUGCAUAUAUUUCCUUUAUUAGUUUUAGUAGUUUUAGUUGUAUUUCAAUUAGAAUUCUUUUUUUUUCCACAGCAACAAUGGAUCCUUAACCCACUGAGCGAGACCGGGGAUCAAACCUGCAUCCUCCUGUGAUGGACUGUAACUCAGGUAGUUCGUGUAGGAGCAUGGACUCCAAUACAUUCUUUGAUACGACUUUUUUUUUUUNNNNNNNNNNNNNNNNNNNNNNNNNNNNNNNNNNNNNNNNNNNNNNNNNNNNNNNNNNNNNNNNNNNNNNNNNNNNNNNNNNNNNNNNNNNNNNNNNNNNNNNNNGGCCUACACAAGAGCCACAGCAACACGGGAUCCGAGCCGCGUCUGCAACCUACACCACAGCUCACGGCAAUGCCAGAUCGUUAACCCAUUGAGCAAGGGCAGGGACCGAACCCUCAACCUCAUGAUUCCUAGUCGGAUUCGUUAACCACUGCGCCAUGGCGGAAACUCCUGAUGUGACUAUUGAUUAACAUUUAUGGCUUAAGGACUGCAGAGAGUAACACCCCCCACAGGUCCUGUUUUAUUAUAGGAAAUGUGCUUUCCCCCAGAGAGACUAUCAUCUCUAACCCACUCCUCAACUGAUAGAAAAGGAACGAGUGGAAUGGUGACCUCAUCCAAGGGAAGAAAAAGACAAAGAAGUCGCAGUUCCCGUCAUGGCACAGCAGAAAUGAAUCUGACUGGGAACCAUGAGGUUGCGGGUUCGAUCCCUGGCCUUGCUCAGUGGGUUAAGGAUCUGGCAUUGCCAUGAGCUGUGGUGAAGGUUGGAGACAUGGCUUGGAUCCCAAGUUGCUGUGGUGGUGGUGUAGGCCAGCAACUGCAGCUCUAAUUAGACACCUAGCUUGGGGACCUCCAUAUGCUGCAGGUGCAGCCCUAAAAAUACAAAAAAAAAAAAGAGAAAAAUCUAGGUAAUACGUUUCUUAUAGUACAAUUUUUCAAUAAAAAAUUUUAAAAAGAAGAUAUGUUUACUAACACACUCAAAUUUAUCUUUCGGUUCCUCCGUGAUGGGAAGACAAAAGUAGAUAAACCUAUGUUCAGGAAUUAAUGCUCAGUAUUUUUUCUUAUUUGGAAAUAAUCUAGAUAUCAAUAUAUUUUCAUCAUUAAUUUAACUCAGCAAAAUUCUGAAGUGUCAAGGUAUCAGAAGAUUUCCAAAACUGUUUAAGUAUACGUAUCAUAAAGCAUAAUUAUUGCACCUAAAAUCUCUUAUCUUACAUCUAUAUAAUUGAUUUUUUCAAAACAAUUAUGAUAUGAAAAUUUUAUUAUACCAAGUUUUUUUUUCUUUUGCUGAUAGAUUUUGUACAAGAGAGAGCACGAGUUUGACAAGUAAACCUAGCUAGAAUAAAAGUUUUAUGUUUAAUGCUAAUAACUCUAAGACACGUCUAUUUUAAUUAAACCAAGAAAUUUAAAUUAGCUUUAAUAAAUAGUAUUUUCUUAGCUCCUGUAAAACUGAAAAGCAUUUGGGUUCAAUUUCAUUAAAUUUCUGAGAACUUCGGAAGUACUCAAUUUAUAAGUGCUUAACUCUAAACCAAUUAAAUAUAGCUCUUUAUAAAUUAGUUUUGGUAAUACCAUCCACAGGUAGAAAAAUACCACACAUCUAAAACAUACAUAUACAGAAGUUCCUGUGGAACAGUGCGUACAAAUCUGACUGGUAUCCAUAAAGAUGCAGGUUCAAUCCUAGGCCUGGCUCAGUAGGUUAAGGGUCCAGCGUUGUGGUGAGCUGUGAUAUAGUUUUCAGCUGCAGCUCCAAUUGGACCUCUAGCCUGGGAACUUCCACAUGCCACGGUUUUGGCCCUAAAAAUCAAAAUAAUAAUAAUAAUAAUAAAAUAACAUUAAAUAAAUAAAACACACAUAUACAGACACACACAAACAUAAGCAAAUGGAGACCAUAGAGCAUUUGUUGUUUUUCUUUUUUCUGUCUUCUUAGGGCCGUACUCACGGCAUAUAGAGGUUCCCAGGCUAGGGGUCGAAUCAGAGCUGUUGCUGCCAGCCUACACCACAGCCACAGCAAUGUGGGAUCUGAGUCGCGUCUGUGACCUACACCACAGCUCACAGCAACGCCGGAUCCUUAACCCACUGAGCAAAGCUGGGGAUCGAACCUGCAAACUCAUGGUUCCUAGUCAGAUUCAUUUCUGCUGCUUUUUAAAAAAAUUAGUCAUGAGGUGAGUAUAACAGUACAAAACUCAGUAGCAUUCCAAAAUUGAUGGCUUUAGCGCCCUAUGAGACAAGGAUAAGAAAUCACUGAUAUUUUUUUUCAGUAGUGCUAAUUAUAUCCGUUGGUAAAUACAUUAAAACACUAGUUUUCCAGUAAAAUAAAUAUUAACAUAUUUAUAGAAGAGAAUGAUCAGUAUCUAAGGUUUUAUUUAAUUUUUUAUUAAGAUACACUUUACAAAUAUUAAAUUCAAUUUUUUCAUGUGAGUUAUUUUCGUAUAUUUGUUCUUAAAGGUAUCUAAACUUUGGAAUAUAAAUGUUUCACAUGUAAGGAUUAUGUCCUUCAAAACUAAAAAAAUAUUCUGUAAUACCCUAUGGAUUAAAAAAAAAAAAGUCACAGAUGCUUUCUUUCCCUGAUUUUAUAGCCUUUUUUUUUUUUGGUAUUUUUAGGGCCACACCCAUGGCAUCUGGAAUUUCCCAGGCUAGGGGUCAAAUUGGAGCUGCAGCUGCCUGCCUACACCACAGCCACAGCAACGCAGGAUCUAAGCAGAAUCUAUGACCUACACCACAGCUCAUGGCAACGCUGGAUCCUUAACCCACUGGGAGGGGCCAGGGAUUGAACCCAAGUCCUCAUGGAUACUAGUCAGGUUCUUAACCCACUGAGCCACAAUGGGAACUCUUUUACUUAUUUUAUUAUAUUUUAUUUUUUUUUUUGGUCUUUGGUCUUUUUAGGGCUGUACCCACAGCAUUUGGAGAUUCCCAGGCUAGGGGUCUCAUCAGAGCUGUUGCUGCCGGCCUACACCAUAGCCUGUAGCAAAGCCAACGCUGGGGGUAGUUUCUGACUCUGUUCCCACCCUUCUUCAGAGGAUUGGAAGUGAGGACCAAGAAUUUCCUGGGGCAAGGCUGAAUUUAACACUGGUUUUCUUAUUUUUUAUUUUGAUUUUUGUCUUUUUGCCAUUUCUUGGGCCGCUCCCGUGGCAUAUGGAGGUUCCCAGGCUAGGGGUCGAAUCGGAGCUGUAGCCACCGGCCUAUACCACAGCCACCACAACGCGGGGUCCGAGCCGCAUCUGCAACCUACACCACAGCUCACAGCAACGCCGGAUCCUUAACCUACUGAGCAAGGCCAGGGAUCGAACCUGCAACCUCAUGGUUCCAAGUCGGAUUCGUUAACCACUGCGCCACGACGGAAACUCCCUAGUUUACCUUGCUUUUAGGGAACACUUUUGGCUUCAUACUCUUCCCAUUCUCUCACUCACUUCUUCUAUUUCAUAUCUGAGCCCUGGAAACCAAACAUCACAACUAAGAAGAGCUGAAAUACAAAUCCCCCAGCUCCUGUUCUUCUGAGGUUGGUUUCUAGCAACGUUGACCCCCGGCUCAUGCUUUGGGGGUCAAAGAAAGAUAUAGUCACCAUGUGAAUGAAAGCCCUUCAGGUAUGGGGAGACCCUCCUAGGAUUCAGAGUUUUGUAAAGAUCUGGA